This 505-nucleotide ribosomal RNA is filed under the name uncultured bacterium. RNAcentral describes it as "bacterial SSU rRNA". It matches the Rfam family "Bacterial small subunit ribosomal RNA", at positions 46 to 542 of the family's 1533-position model. The record is from RNAcentral.
GCCCWACACAUGCAAGUCGAACCGGUUCCGGCUCGUCCGGGACANGUGGCGAACGGCUGAAGUAACACGGUGAGCAACCUGCCUCUAAGUGGGGGAUAACUCCGGGAAACUGGAGCUAAUACCGCAUGUGGUAGUAAGGCGAAGGCCUUACUAAGAAAGCCGCAAGGCGCUUAGAGAGGGGCUUGCGUCCUAUCAGGUAGUUGGUGAGGUAAUGGCCCACCAAGCCUAUGACGGGUAGCUGGUCUGAGAGGAUGACCAGCCAGACGGGGACUGAGACACGGCCCCGACUCCUACGGGGGGCAGCAGCAAGGGAUUUUGGGCAAUGGGCGAAAGCCUGACCCAGCGACACCGCGUGGGGGAUGAAGGCCUUCGGGUUGUAAACCCCUUUUCUCAGGGAAAGAAUAAUGACGGUACCUGAGGAAUAAGCCUCGGCUAACUACGUGCCAGCAGCCGCGGUAAUACAAGGGCGAAAUUCGUUNAACCUCAGACNNGNCCUUUGNANGGU